GACGAACGCUGGCGGCGUGCUUAACACAUGCAAGUCGAACGAUGAACCCGGAGCUUGCUCUGGGGGAUUAGUGGCGAACGGGUGAGUAACACGUGAGUAACCUGCCCUGGACUCUGGGAUAAGCGUUGGAAACGACGUCUAAUACCGGAUAGGACCUUGGAUCGCAUGAUCUGGGGUGGAAAGUUUUUUCGGUCUGGGAUGGACUCGCGGCCUAUCAGCUUGUUGGUGAGGUAAUGGCUCACCAAGGCGUCGACGGGUAGCCGGCCUGAGAGGGUGACCGGCCACACUGGGACUGAGACACGGCCCAGACUCCUACGGGAGGCAGCAGUGGGGAAUAUUGCACAAUGGGCGAAAGCCUGAUGUAGCAACGCCGCGUGCGGGAUGACGGCCUUCGGGUUGUAAACCGCUUUUAGUAGGGAAGAAGGGCUUCGGCUUGACGGUACCUGCAGAAAAAGGACCGGCUAACUACGUG
Molecule: ribosomal RNA, 472 nt
Filed under: uncultured bacterium
Lineage: Bacteria
Description: partial 16S ribosomal RNA
Rfam family: Bacterial small subunit ribosomal RNA
Source: RNAcentral